Molecule: ribosomal RNA, 916 nt
Filed under: archaeon enrichment culture clone EAr-c10
Lineage: Archaea
Description: bacterial SSU rRNA
Rfam family: Archaeal small subunit ribosomal RNA
Source: RNAcentral
UUCCGGUUGAUCCUGCCAGAGGCUACUGCUAUCGGGGUCCGACUAAGCCAUGCGAGUUGAGAGGGGUAAGCCCUCGGCAUAUUGCUCAGUAACACGCGGAUAACCUGCCCUUGGGUUUGGGAUAACCCCGGGAAACUGGGACUAAUACCGGAUAGAUCAAAGAAACUGGAAUGUUCUCUGAUCGAAAGCUCCGGCGCCCAAGGAUGGGUCUGCGGCCUAUCAGGUAGUAGUGGGUGUAACGUACCUACUAGCCUACGACGGGUAAGGGUUGUGAGAGCAAGAGCCCUGAGAUGGAUUCUGAGACAUGAAUCCAGGCCCUACGGGGUGCAGCAGGCGCGAAAACUUUACACUGCGGGAAACCGCGAUAAGGGGACCCCGAGUGCCAGCACCUAGUGCUGGCUGUCCAGCUGUUCAAAUAACAGUUGUUAGCAAGGGCCGGGCAAGACCGGUGCCAGCCGCCGCGGUAACGCCGGCGGCCCGAGUGGUAGCCGUUAUUAUUGGGUUUAAAGGGUCCGUAGCCGGCCUAUUAAGUCUCUUGGGAAAUCUGGCGACUCAAUCGUCAGGCGUUCAAGAGAUACUGGUAGGCUUGGGACCGGGAGAGGUGGGAGGUACUCCAGGGGUAGGGGUGAAAUCUCGUAAUCCUUGGGGGACCACCGAUGGCGAAGGCAUCCCACCAGAACGGGUCCGACGGUGAGGGACGAAGGCUGGGGGCACGAACCGGAUUAGAUACCCGGGUAGUCCCGGCCGUAAACGAUGCUCGCUAGGUGUCAGGUGCGGUGCGACCGCAUCUGGUGCCGCAGUGAAAACUUGAAGCGAGUCACCUGGGAAGUACGGUCGCAAGGCUGAAACUUAAAGGAAUUGGCGGGGGAGCACUACAACGGGUGGAGCCUGCGGUUCAAUUGGAUUCAACGCCGGG